AUUAACUUUGCGGUGCAUCGGUUCUCUGUUUUUACUUAAAACCAGAGAUUAAAAGGGAAUCAGGUGAAAAUCCUGAACAGUCCCGCUGCUGUAAGUUUCUAUAAAACGUUAUAAGCAAACACUCAAUACCACUGAACUAUAGUUGUUCGGGAAGGAGCUUAAUAACGGAAACGAGUCAGAAGACCUGCCAUGCUUGUAUUUCAACA
Bacteroides luti is the source of this 206-nucleotide non-coding RNA. Lineage: Bacteria; Pseudomonadati; Bacteroidota; Bacteroidia; Bacteroidales; Bacteroidaceae. The record is from Rfam.